Molecule: small nucleolar RNA, 85 nt
Filed under: Amborella trichopoda
Lineage: Eukaryota; Viridiplantae; Streptophyta; Magnoliopsida; Amborellales; Amborellaceae
Description: snoRNA snoZ159
Rfam family: Small nucleolar RNA Z159/U59
About the family: This family consists of several snoRNA Z159 or U59 sequences which are members of the C/D class of snoRNA which contain the C (UGAUGA) and D (CUGA) box motifs. This family seems to be found exclusively in rice.
Source: Rfam by way of RNAcentral
AUCUCUGAUGAUGAUCAGCCUAAAACUUUCGUUCUUCCGAGGUUAAUCUAUGCGGAAAAUUUAUGGAGACCUGAACUGAAGAGAU